Molecule: long non-coding RNA, 494 nt
Organism: Fundulus heteroclitus (mummichog)
Lineage: Eukaryota; Metazoa; Chordata; Actinopteri; Cyprinodontiformes; Fundulidae
Exons: 3
Source: RefSeq, a predicted model, not a curated record
AAUAUAAAUAAAAUAAUAAUUUGUAGUGAUUCAUUAUCUGCAUUAUUAAGUAUAGAAAAGGGAUGUACAAAGAUUUUUCGUUUUUUUUUUUUAUUCUGGGAUCAUAAGGAUUUGAAGGAUAUAUAUUAGGAUCCAAUAGAUGGCAGUAAUGCAACAACUAUGGAUGCAAGCUGUCGUUAAAUCCUAAAGAAGAAGAAGAAGAAGACGACGACUUUACUGUGUUUGGAUUUUACUGGUAUGCCGGACAACGUCUCGCGUUCAACUCCUCUAGGACGCGAUCCACAACUUUCAGCCAGUCCGCAGACUGACGAGAAGAAACUGCGGUUUGCUAUCAGUGGACUGUCUCGUCAGCUUACUCAACAUACUGCCGACAUGAAUGAGAGAUGGCGGCUCUGCAGUCGAAGAACUGUGCUGGAGAGACUAACUCCAUCAAGAGAAGACGGAUGCACAAAAGCUUGCGUACGCCGUCUUCACAACUCGGAGACAAAUUUCAG